CCUACGGGAGGCAGCAGUGGGGAAUAUUGGACAAUGGGGGGAACCCUGAUCCAGCCAUGCCGCGUGUGUGAAGAAGGCCCUCGGGUUGUAAAGCACUUUCAGUGAGGAAGAACGCCUGGUGGUUAAUACCCAUCAGGAAAGACAUCACUCACAGAAGAAGCACCGUCUAACUCCGUGCCAGCAGCCGCGGUAAUACGGAGGGUGCGAGCGUUAAUCGGAAUUACUGGGCGUAAAGCGCGCGUAGGUGGCUUGAUAAGCCGGUUGUGAAAGCCCCGGGCUCAACCUGGGAACGGCAUCCGGAACUGUCAAGCUAGAGUGCAGGAGAGGAAGGUAGAAUUCCCGGUGUAGCGGUGAAAUGCGUAGAGAUCGGGAGGAAUACCAGUGGCGAAGGCGGCCUUCUGGACUGACACUGACACUGAGGUGCGAAAGCGUGGGUAGCAAACAGGAUUAGAUACCCUGGUAGUC
This 465-nucleotide ribosomal RNA is filed under the name Vreelandella stevensii. Its description in RNAcentral is "partial 16S ribosomal RNA". It matches the Rfam family "Bacterial small subunit ribosomal RNA", at positions 338 to 795 of the family's 1533-position model. Lineage: Bacteria; Pseudomonadati; Pseudomonadota; Gammaproteobacteria; Oceanospirillales; Halomonadaceae. The record is from RNAcentral.